CUUGUUAAAAAGCAGAUUCU
Molecule: microRNA, 20 nt
Filed under: Rattus norvegicus (Norway rat)
Lineage: Eukaryota; Metazoa; Chordata; Mammalia; Rodentia; Muridae
Description: rno-miR-544-5p
Gene: rno-miR-544-5p
Source: miRBase by way of RNAcentral